GUGCCUACGGGGGGCAGCAGUAGGGAAUCUUCCACAAUGGGCGAAAGCCUGAUGGAGCAACGCCGCGUGGGUGAAGAAGGUCUUCGGAUCGUAAAACCCUGUUGUUAGAGAAGAAAGUGCGUGAGAGUAACUGUUCACGUUUCGACGGUAUCUAACCAGAAAGCCACGGCUAACUACGUGCCAGCAGCCGCGGUAAUACGUAGGUGGCAAGCGUUGUCCGGAAUUACUGGGUGUAAAGGGAGCGCAGGCGGGAAGCCA
Molecule: ribosomal RNA, 258 nt
Filed under: uncultured bacterium
Lineage: Bacteria
Description: partial 16S ribosomal RNA
Rfam family: Bacterial small subunit ribosomal RNA
Source: RNAcentral